This is a long non-coding RNA of Cygnus olor (mute swan), 629 nucleotides long. RefSeq lists it as uncharacterized. The record is from RefSeq and is a predicted model, not a curated record. The transcript is spliced from 2 exons. NCBI's taxonomy places the organism in Eukaryota, Metazoa, Chordata, Aves, Anseriformes, Anatidae.
UGCUCCCGGGGGGCUUUCAGCCCGAGCACGGCUCCUGCUGCAGGCAAAAACUGUGUCCCCCGGGGCUGUGCCCGAGCCCGGGCUGUGCCGUCGCCGUCCCCCCGCAGCAGCCCUCGUGGCGUGCCCACGCUCCGGGCGGCGUUGCCGGCGUGGAGCCUGUCCCCGGGGAGCCGGGGGCUGCUCUCCGUGGGGACAUCUCGGCUGCAGGCUGGGGACGGGAUCAGGGGCUCGACCCCCUUGUGGGAGCCCCCCCCCCCCCCCCCCCGUGUGGGGAUUUGGAGGGCAGCAGUCGCCUUCUGUGCAGAAAGGGCUUGGACUUCGAUCGUGUUCCCUUCGCCCUGCUCUCACCGGGGUGGUUUUGUCACUUGGGUGCUCGCCGUGGGGGUGGUUGGGAGGCAUCCUCGGCUGCCCCAUCCCCGGUCUGCUGUCCCCCCCCUUGGCCGACGCCCCCCCGCAGCCCUCCUCGGGAGUUGAGCGUGGAGGCAGGGAUCCCUCCCCAGGCCCUGAACGAAGGCCGCCGGUUUGCCGUAGCCGCUGGUUUCAAGCAGGAGCCCAGAGGAAAACGGCUCCUGGUCUGUUGGCGUUCCCGGCCCCGUGGGGCGACCAACUCGUGCGGGAGCGACACGGGG